CCUACGGGUGGCAGCAGUGGGGAAUAUUGCACAAUGGGCGCAAGCCUGAUGCAGCCAUGCCGCGUGUAUGAAGAAGGCCCUAGGGUUGUAAAGUACUUUCAGCGGGGAGGAAGGUGAUAAGGUUAAUACCCUUGUCAAUUUACGUUACCCGCAGAAGACGCACCGGCUAACUCCGGCCCAGCAGCCGCGGUAAUACGGAGGGUGCAAGCGUUAAUCGGAAUUACUGGGCGUAAAGCGCACGCGUGCGGUCAAUUAAGUCAGAUGUUAAAGCCCCGAGCAUAACUUGGGAAUUGCAUCUGAAACUGGUUGGCUAGAGUGUUGGAGAGGGGGGUAGAAUGCCAUGUGUAGCGGUGAAAUGCGUAGAUAUGUGGAGGAAUACCGGUGGCGAAGGCGGCCCCCUGGAGAAAGACUGACGCUCAGGUGCGAAAGCGUGGGGAGCAAACAGGAUUAGAUACCCUUGUAGUC
RNAcentral lists this ribosomal RNA (465 nucleotides) under uncultured bacterium. Its description in RNAcentral is "partial 16S ribosomal RNA". It matches the Rfam family "Bacterial small subunit ribosomal RNA", at positions 338 to 795 of the family's 1533-position model. The record is from RNAcentral.